CAAAUUUGAGUAUAGUCUCUCUACUAUAAAAUUCCAAUCUGAAUUGUGAAGGACCUAAGCCCUCCUUUUAUAGGAGUAAGGGCUGGUCAUUUACAUAGCUUAUUCCCUAAGCUACCCAAAAACUCCUAAGAUCACACCCCCCUUACUAAGCUCACUCCCCAAGCUCCUAGAAUUUGCUAAACUAAAGCCUAAAGAUGCUUUUACAAAAGAGGUGUCUCAUGUUUCCCUCUAAGCACCUUUCUAAACAUUAUUCUAUAUUAUUUACAAUUUAAAAGAAACUAUAAAGAGAGAUAUUUAAUAUGAAGCCUAUUAUUUGAGAGUUUGUAGACUUCUUUAUCUUUAGGCUUGAUCUUCUCUUUAACUUCUUUUAAUUUGUGAGAAGACUAGAAGGAAGAACUUCAAAUGUGUAGGUGAAAAUCCUCUUCCUU
RNAcentral lists this long non-coding RNA (428 nucleotides) under Phaseolus vulgaris (common bean). RNAcentral describes it as "long non-coding RNA (PVUL_LNC003561)". Lineage: Eukaryota; Viridiplantae; Streptophyta; Magnoliopsida; Fabales; Fabaceae. The record is from RNAcentral.